RNAcentral lists this small RNA (121 nucleotides) under Achromatium sp. WMS3. Its description in RNAcentral is "t44 RNA". It matches the Rfam family "t44 RNA". Rfam says of the family: This family consists of a number of bacterial RNA genes of between 135 and 170 bases in length. The t44 gene is found between the map and rpsB genes in all species in the full alignment apart from Shigella flexneri. Lineage: Bacteria; Pseudomonadati; Pseudomonadota; Gammaproteobacteria; Thiotrichales; Thiotrichaceae. The record is from Rfam by way of RNAcentral.
UAAUUUUUUUAAAUAUUUCACAUAUAUACCGACACAAAACGUAGGGUGCCUUAAUUACCUUUAAAUAUUAAAGUGAAUACCUGUUAAAAAGGUUACGUUUUGGGGCAUAUAGAGGCAAAAC